GCUUAGAUACCACAUUGAAACCACAUCAUUCAUAUCGAGUGGGAGGAGCCAAUUAUGUUCCAUUAAUUGUAUUCGCAUAUUUCAUGAUGUCAACUGACUAGAAUAUGUGAAAUUAGAUAAUGUUGAAUCUAUUGUUUUGCAGGGCUGGUGCUGUGGUGGCUAAGUAUGGUGACAAGAGUGUUUACUUUGAUUUGGAGGAUCUGGGCAACACCACUGGCCAAUGGGACUUGUAUGGAUCAGAUGCACCUUCACCAUACAACCCCCUUCAGGUAUAUUUCCACCUUGAAUAUAGAGGAAGUGUCAAAGUGGGUCGAGCAGUCUGGACCGUGAAAAGUUCAGUGCUGGGCUAGUAUUAUAGUGUAGUUUCGUUGUUGACAUUCAUUUACGAUCACAGAGCAAGUUCUUCGAGACAUUUGCUGCUCCUUUCACCAAGAGAGGUCUUUUGCUGAAGUUCUUGAUAUUGGGAGGUGGCAUCACCAUUGCUUAUGUGAGCUCCAAAGCAACAGGAGACGUUUUACCUAUUGUAAAGGGCCCACAACUUCCACCCAAGCCAGGACCACGUGGCAAAAUCUAAUUUCCCAGAUAUAACAUUUUCAACCUUUAUAAAUUUAUUGUGUUCAAUGUGUCAUUUCAACAGCCUGUAAGCAUAUCAGAAUCUACUUUUACUGUUUAAUAUUACAAGUAUUUCAGUACAAUUCUUGUUGUAUCUGAUUCAAUUUUAAAGUAACUCGAGUACAAUUAAGUGAUCAAUUUCAAAAUAAGUCAAGAGUAUAAUUCAGCAUAUGCUUCCAAGUUACAGAACUAGCACUAGAAUUUUACUAGAUUUCUAUGGCAAGACCGAAAUGCAUACGUACAUUAGGGCUGAGCUUUUAUGCUAGAGUCGAGUUCUGUCAGUUAUUCAUCUGCAACAAAAUCAAUUAAUGGCGUGCUGUUGGACUUCUUGCACCCCCUAGGUUCUCUAGCCUCUCUAUGUAGGAAAAUUUCUUGUUCGUCAUAAUGUUUAGCGGUUUAGGGAGGACCUUUGAGUCAACAUCUUUCUUUGCAUCAGUCUCUCCUUGAUCUAAAUUCCAUCCCAUAAAGUCUAGCAGUGUCAUUGAAG
This 1099-nucleotide long non-coding RNA is filed under the name Olea europaea subsp. europaea. The record is from RNAcentral. Lineage: Eukaryota; Viridiplantae; Streptophyta; Magnoliopsida; Lamiales; Oleaceae.